Molecule: ribosomal RNA, 236 nt
Filed under: uncultured bacterium
Lineage: Bacteria
Description: partial 16S ribosomal RNA
Rfam family: Bacterial small subunit ribosomal RNA
Source: RNAcentral
GAUCAUGGCUCAGGAUGAACGCUGGCGGCGUGCUUAACACAUGCAAGUCGAGCGAAGCACUUAGGAAAGAUUCUUCGGAUGAUUUCCUAAGUGACUGAGCGGCGGACGGGUGAGUAACGCGUGGGUAACCUGCCUCAUACAGGGGGAUAACAGUUAGAAAUGACUGCUAAUACCGCAUAAGGCCACAGCACCGCAUGGUGCAGGGGUAAAAACUCCGGUGGUAUGAGAUGGACCCG